This 324-nucleotide ribosomal RNA is filed under the name uncultured Actinomycetes bacterium. RNAcentral describes it as "bacterial SSU rRNA". It matches the Rfam family "Bacterial small subunit ribosomal RNA", at positions 28 to 351 of the family's 1533-position model. Lineage: Bacteria; Bacillati; Actinomycetota; Actinomycetes. The record is from RNAcentral.
GACGAACGCUGGCGGCGUGCUUAACACAUGCAAGUCGAACGGUGAACCGGGCUUCGGCCCGGGGAUCAGUGGCGAACGGGUGCGUAACACGUGGGCAACCUGCCCCAGACACUGGGAUAACUCCGGGAAACCGGGGCUAAUACCGGAUACUCCGGUCGAACCGCAUGGUUCGAUCGGGAAAGCUCCGACGGUCUGGGAUGGGCCCGCGGCCUAUCAGCUAGUUGGUGAGGUAAGAGCCCACCAAGGCUAUGACGGGUAGCUGGUCUGAGAGGACGACCAGCCACACUGGGACUGAGACACGGCCCAGACUCCUACGGGAGGCUG